Molecule: transfer RNA, 49 nt
Filed under: Notobdella nototheniae
Lineage: Eukaryota; Metazoa; Annelida; Clitellata; Hirudinida; Piscicolidae
Description: partial tRNA-Leu
Source: RNAcentral
AGUGCAUUAGGCUUAAAAUCUAAAAAUAAUAACAACUUAUUCUAUAUUA